Molecule: long non-coding RNA, 691 nt
Filed under: Ananas comosus (pineapple)
Lineage: Eukaryota; Viridiplantae; Streptophyta; Magnoliopsida; Poales; Bromeliaceae
Description: long non-coding RNA (ACOM_LNC002889)
Source: RNAcentral
AGCGUCUUAAGAUCCAUCACCAAACACAUAUUGCGAUCAAAAAUAGAGAACACAUGCGAGAACACAAACUGCUUAAAUACUAAUACCCGAGUAAAGAGGAGAGAUGAGCGAUCCUACCACCUGUCCCCCUCGGAGGCCCCGACGCUCCUCCCGUAGCGGUUCCCCCCCUCGUAGCCGCCUCCGUAGCCACCGCGGGACUGGGCCUCGUUCACGGUGAUGCUCCUCCCGUCGAGGCUCUUCCCAUUCAUCCCCUCGAUCGCGUCCCGCAUCGACUGCUCGUUGGCGAAGGUGACGAACCCGAACCCCCUCGACCUCCCCGUCUCCCGAUCGUUGAUGAUCUGCACCCCCGAUUAGCAAAUCUCAACGAUCCGAUCCGCGAUCAACAAGCUCAGAUCCAGAUCUCGUAGUCUCAGAUCUCAGAUCUCAGAUCCACGAGAUCUGGAUCUCAAAUCCACACCAAAAUCAAAUCGAAACAGGGAAAAGGGAUUAGGGAUCAGGGAUCGAACCUUAGACUCCAGGAUCUCACCAAAGGGUCGGAACGCCUCCUCGAGGGUGUGGCUAUCGGUGGCCCACGCGAGGCCGCCGACGAAGCAGCGGAACUCCACCUCGGUCGUCGCCAUAGAAACCCUAGAUCGGACGUACGACAGAGAAGGGAGAAUCGGGGAGAGGGGGAGGAGAUCCAACCCACCUC